GAUCAUUGUCGAAACCCUGCCUGCUAGAACGACCCGCGAAC
RNAcentral lists this ribosomal RNA (41 nucleotides) under Maquira calophylla. RNAcentral describes it as "partial 18S ribosomal RNA". Lineage: Eukaryota; Viridiplantae; Streptophyta; Magnoliopsida; Rosales; Moraceae. The record is from RNAcentral.